GGCCAGACUCCUACGGGAGGCAGCAGUGGGGGAUAUUGCACAAUGGGGGAAACCCUGAUGCAGCGACGCCGCGUGUGGGAAGACGGUCCUCUGGAUUGUAAACCACUGUCCCCAGGGACGAAGAUGACGGUACCUGGGGAGGAAGCCCCGGCUAACUACGUGCCAGCAGCCGCGGUAAUACGUAGGGGGCGAGCGUUGUCCGGAAUUACUGGGCGUAAAGGGUGCGUAGGCGGUGUAGCAAGUUAGAAGUGAAAUACCUAGAGCUUAACUCAGGUGCUGCUUCUAAAACUGCUAUACUUGAGUGCAGUAGAGGAAAGUGGAAUUCCUAGUGUAGCGGUGGAAUGCGUAGAUAUUAGGAGGAACAUCAGUGGCGAAGGCGACUUUCUGGACUGUAACUGACGCUGAGGCACGAAAGUGUGGGGAGCAAACAGGAUUAGAUA
RNAcentral lists this ribosomal RNA (440 nucleotides) under uncultured bacterium. RNAcentral describes it as "partial 16S ribosomal RNA". It matches the Rfam family "Bacterial small subunit ribosomal RNA", at positions 329 to 784 of the family's 1533-position model. The record is from RNAcentral.